UACGUAGGGUGCGAGCGUUGUCCGGAAUUAUUGGGCGUAAAGAGCUCGUAGGCGGUGUGUCGCGUCGGCCGUGAAAACCUGGGGCUCAACUCUGGGCGUGCGGUCGAUACGGGCAUCACUUGAGUUCGGCAGGGGAGACUGGAAUCCUGGUGUAGCGGUGAAAUGCGCAGAUAUCAGGAGGAACACCGAUGGCGAAGGCAAUCCCUGGACUGUACGUGACGCUCUGCACGAAGCGUGG
This 238-nucleotide ribosomal RNA is filed under the name uncultured bacterium. Its description in RNAcentral is "partial 16S ribosomal RNA". It matches the Rfam family "Bacterial small subunit ribosomal RNA", at positions 524 to 764 of the family's 1533-position model. The record is from RNAcentral.